This is a non-coding RNA of Pelobates cultripes (western spadefoot toad), 343 nucleotides long. The record is from the annotation of a GenBank genome assembly. NCBI's taxonomy places the organism in Eukaryota, Metazoa, Chordata, Amphibia, Anura, Pelobatidae.
GGUCUGACCGUAAUCUGAUUAGUAUGGACUUAGAAGAUCACAUUAAAAGACACAAAUCGGAAUGGGCCCUGCUCAAUGAGCUUACAUGCUAGAGGGAGUGGGUUAAAGUGACACAAAAGGUAAGGAUAGUAUUAGACUAAUUUCAGAUGCAAGAGAGGAAUAAGGUCACUAUAAUAAUAAUAAUAGAUAAGGACACUAUAUUGUGAUCACUAUUUCCCAAGUGCUCAUCUACUUGAAUGUUGGUCAAAAGAUCAACAUUAUUUGUUAGUACCAGGUCCAGACAAGCGUCCUUUUUAGUUGGUGCUUGUACAACUUGCGACAUGAAGGUGUCAUUUAACACGUU